RNAcentral lists this ribosomal RNA (253 nucleotides) under uncultured bacterium. RNAcentral's name for it is "partial 16S ribosomal RNA". It matches the Rfam family "Bacterial small subunit ribosomal RNA", at positions 524 to 776 of the family's 1533-position model. The record is from RNAcentral.
UACGUAGGGUGCAAGCGUUAAUCGGAAUUACUGGGCGUAAAGCGUGCGCAGGCGGUUUUGUAAGUCUGUCGUGAAAUCCCCGGGCUCAACCUGGGAAUUGCGAUGGAGACUGCAAGGCUAGAAUCUGGCAGAGGGGGGUAGAAUUCCACGUGUAGCAGUGAAAUGCGUAGAGAUGUGGAGGAACACCGAUGGCGAAGGCAGCCCCCUGGCGCGCAACUGACGCUCAGACACGACAGCAUGGGGAGCGAACGGG